Molecule: ribosomal RNA, 430 nt
Filed under: uncultured bacterium
Lineage: Bacteria
Description: bacterial SSU rRNA
Rfam family: Bacterial small subunit ribosomal RNA
Source: RNAcentral
GGACCCGCACAAGUAGUGGAGCAUGUGGUUUAAUUCGAAGAUACGCGCAGAACCUUACCAACACUUGACAUGUUCGUCGCGACUCUAAGAGAUUAGAGUUUUCGGUUCGGCCGGACGAAACACAGGUGCUGCAUGGCUGUCGUCAGCUCGUGUCGUGAGAUGUUGGGUUAAGUCCCGCAACGAGCGCAACCCUCACUUUUAGUUGCCAUCAUUAAGUUGGGCACUCUGAAAGAACUGCCAGUGAUAAGCUGGAGGAAGGUGGGGAUGACGUCAAGUCCUCAUGGCCCUUACGUGUUGGGCUACACACGUGCUACAAUGGCAUCUACAACAGGAAGCAAAACGGCAACGUUAAGCAAAUCCCGAAAAGAUGCCUCAGUUCGGAUUGCACUCUGCAACUCGAGUGCAUGAAGCUGGAAUUACUAGUAAUGGC